UAACUACUUCAUCAGACAGCGGUGCUCAAACUUUAGUAACCCCAUGACCCCCAUUUUGAUUUAAAAUUUUGCCAUGGACGCUCAAGCC
Non-coding RNA from Chelonoidis abingdonii (Abingdon island giant tortoise), 88 nucleotides. NCBI's taxonomy places the organism in Eukaryota, Metazoa, Chordata, Testudines, Testudinidae. The record is from RefSeq and is a predicted model, not a curated record.